This 504-nucleotide ribosomal RNA is filed under the name uncultured bacterium. Its description in RNAcentral is "partial 16S ribosomal RNA". It matches the Rfam family "Bacterial small subunit ribosomal RNA", at positions 28 to 523 of the family's 1533-position model. The record is from RNAcentral.
GAUAAACGCUAGCGGCAGGCUUAACACAUGCAAGUCGGGGGGCAGCAUAGAUUGUAGCAAUACAAUUGGUGGCGACCGGCGCACGGGUGCGUAACGCGUAUGCAACCUACCCGUCACAGGGGGAUAAUCCGGAGAAAUCUGGUCUAAUACCCCAUAACAUAUGGAUCGGCAUCGGUUCAUGUUGAAAUUUUCGGAGGUGUCGGAUGGGCAUGCGUAGCAUUAGCUUGUUGGUGAGGUAACGGCUCACCAAGGCGACGAUGCUUAGGGGGACUGAGAGGUUUUCCCCCCACACUGGAACUGAGACACGGACCAGACUCCUACGGGAGGCAGCAGUGAGGAAUAUUGGUCAAUGGGCGCAAGCCUGAACCAGCCAUGCCGCGUGCAGGAUGACGGCUCUAUGAGUUGUAAACUGCUUUUGUACGAGGGUAAAGUGGGUUACGUGUAACCUUUUGAAAGUAUCGUACGAAUAAGGAUCGGCUAACUCCGUGCCAGCCGCCGCGGUAA